Long non-coding RNA from Hylaeus volcanicus, 283 nucleotides. RefSeq lists it as uncharacterized. The record is from RefSeq and is a predicted model, not a curated record. Lineage: Eukaryota; Metazoa; Arthropoda; Insecta; Hymenoptera; Colletidae. The transcript has 2 exons.
AAAAAAAAAAAAAAACUAUCACGGGUGUUCUUUUACUGCACCUAAUUCAAUCGAGUCUCUUGUCUUUAAAGCGCAUGCGCACCAAAAGUGUUCAUGUUGUCUUUCUCUACCCUGUAUGGCUGUCCAUCCAACAAAAGUCAUGAAGAGCUAGUUUCUUUUUUUUUAAACAUUUUACGUAGUAACCGUAAUCCUUUAAUCAAAGGUAAGGUCUUUAUUGAACGAACGCGUCUCGACCAGAGUGAAGAAAAACAAUUAAAAACCAUUUAGAAAAUUUUUUACACUA